This 73-nucleotide transfer RNA is filed under the name Columba livia (rock pigeon). Its description in RNAcentral is "partial tRNA-Gly". The record is from RNAcentral. Lineage: Eukaryota; Metazoa; Chordata; Aves; Columbiformes; Columbidae.
GUUUCUGUAGUGUAGUGUUUAUCGCAUUUGCCUACCAUGCAAAAGGUCACCCAUUCAAAACCAGGCAGAAACA